This 471-nucleotide ribosomal RNA is filed under the name uncultured bacterium. RNAcentral describes it as "bacterial SSU rRNA". It matches the Rfam family "Bacterial small subunit ribosomal RNA", at positions 29 to 477 of the family's 1533-position model. The record is from RNAcentral.
AACGAACGCUGGCGGCGUGCUUAACACAUGCAAGUCGAACGCGAAAGGGACUUCGGUCCUGAGUAAAGUGGCGCACGGGUGAGUAACGCGUGGAUAAUCUACCCGAUGAUCUGGGAUAACAUUUCGAAAGGGGUGCUAAUACCGGAUAAGACCACGGUUUCUUCGGAGACUGCGGUAAAAGGUGGGGACCUUCGGGCCUACCGUUAUCGGAUGAGUCCGCGUACCAUUAGCUAGUUGGUGGGGUAAGAGCCCACCAAGGCGACGAUGGUUAGCUGGUCUGAGAGGAUGAUCAGCCACACUGGAACUGAGACACGGUCCAGACUCCUACGGGAGGCAGCAGUGGGGAAUUUUGCGCAAUGGGGGAAACCCUGACGCAGCAACGCCGCGUGAGUGAUGAAGGCCUUCGGGUCGUAAAGCUCUGUCAGAGGGAAAGAAGUGCAGUGGUGCUAAUACCAUCAUUGCUUGACGGUA